This 611-nucleotide ribosomal RNA is filed under the name uncultured bacterium. RNAcentral describes it as "bacterial SSU rRNA". It matches the Rfam family "Bacterial small subunit ribosomal RNA", at positions 338 to 956 of the family's 1533-position model. The record is from RNAcentral.
CCUACGGGAGGCAGCAGUGGGGGAAUCUUGCGCAAUGGGCGAAAGCCUGACGCAGCCAUGCCGCGUGAAUGAUGAAGGUCUUAGGAUUGUAAAAUUCUUUCACCGGGGACGAUAAUGACGGUACCCGGAGAAGAAGCCCCGGCUAACUUCGUGCCAGCAGCCGCGGUAAUACGAAGGGGGGCUAGCGUUGCUCGGAAUUACUGGGCGUAAAGGGAGCGUAGGCGGAUAGUUUAGUCAGAGGUGAAAGCCCAGGGCUCAACCUUGGAAUUGCCUUUGAUACUGGCUAUCUUGAGUAUGGGAGAGGUUAGCGGAACUCCGAGUGUAGAGGUGAAAUUCGUAGAUAUUCGGAAGAACACCAGUGGCGAAGGCGGCUAACUGGCCCAUUACUGACGCUGAGGCUCGAAAGCGUGGGGAGCAAACAGGAUUAGAUACCCUGGUAGUCCACGCCGUAAACGAUGAGUGCUAGUUGUCGGCAUGCAUGCAUGUCGGUGACGCGAGCGUACGACUAUUAAGUACACUCCGCCGUCGGGAGGUACGGUCGCGAGAAUUAAACUACGAAAGAAGUAGACGGCGUGAGACGUCGCCGACGGACGACGACGAGGGAGGUUAGG